UAGAGUUUGAUCAUGGCUCAGAUUGAACGCUGGCGGCAGGCCUAACACAUGCAAGUCGAGCGGCAGCGGGAAGUAGCUUGCUACUUUGCCGGCGAGCGGCGGACGGGUGAGUAAUGUCUGGGAAACUGCCUGAUGGAGGGGGAUAACUACUGGAAACGGUAGCUAAUACCGCAUGACGUCGCAAGACCAAAGUGGGGGACCUUCGGGCCUCACGCCAUCGGAUGUGCCCAGAUGGGAUUAGCUAGUAGGUGAGGUAAUGGCUCACCUAGGCGACGAUCCCUAGCUGGUCUGAGAGGAUGACCAGCCACACUGGAACUGAGACACGGUCCAGACUCCUACGGGAGGCAGCAGUGGGGAAUAUUGCACAAUGGGCGCAAGCCUGAUGCAGCCACGCCGCGUGUGUGAAGAAGGCCUUAGGGUUGUAAAGCACUUUCAGCGAGGAGGAAGGCGUUGUAGUUAAUAGCUGCAACGAUUGACGUUACUCGCAGAAGAAGCACCGGCUAACUCCGUGCCAGCAGCCGCGGUAAUACGGAGGGUGCAAGCGUUAAUCGGAAUUACUGGGCGUAAAGCGCACGCAGGCGGUUUGUUAAGUCAGAUGUGAAAUCCCCGAGCUUAACUUGGGAACUGCAUUUGAAACUGGCAAGCUAGAGUCUUGUAGAGGGGGGUAGAAUUCCAGGUGUAGCGGUGAAAUGCGUAGAGAUCUGGAGGAAUACCGGUGGCGAAGGCGGCCCCCUGGACAAAGACUGACGCUCAGGUGCGAAAGCGUG
RNAcentral lists this ribosomal RNA (767 nucleotides) under uncultured bacterium. RNAcentral's name for it is "bacterial SSU rRNA". It matches the Rfam family "Bacterial small subunit ribosomal RNA", at positions 1 to 763 of the family's 1533-position model. The record is from RNAcentral.